Molecule: ribosomal RNA, 548 nt
Filed under: Escherichia coli
Lineage: Bacteria; Pseudomonadati; Pseudomonadota; Gammaproteobacteria; Enterobacterales; Enterobacteriaceae
Description: bacterial SSU rRNA
Rfam family: Bacterial small subunit ribosomal RNA
Source: RNAcentral
GCCUCUUGCCAUCGGAUGUGCCCAGAUGGGAUUAGCUAGUAGGUGGGGUAACGGCUCACCUAGGCGACGAUCCCUAGCUGGUCUGAGAGGAUGACCAGCCACACUGGAACUGAGACACGGUCCAGACUCCUACGGGAGGCAGCAGUGGGGAAUAUUGCACAAUGGGCGCAAGCCUGAUGCAGCCAUGCCGCGUGUAUGAAGAAGGCCUUCGGGUUGUAAAGUACUUUCAGCGGGGAGGAAGGGAGUAAAGUUAAUACCUUUGCUCAUUGACGUUACCCGCAGAAGAAGCACCGGCUAACUCCGUGCCAGCAGCCGCGGUAAUACGGAGGGUGCAAGCGUUAAUCGGAAUUACUGGGCGUAAAGCGCACGCAGGCGGUUUGUUAAGUCAGAUGUGAAAUCCCCGGGCUCAACCUGGGAACUGCAUCUGAUACUGGCAAGCUUGAGUCUCGUAGAGGGGGGUAGAAUUCCAGGUGUAGCGGUGAAAUGCGUAGAGAUCUGGAGGAAUACCGGUGGCGAAGGCGGCCCCCUGGACGAAGACUGACGCUCAG